CACUCCUACGGGAGGCAGCAGUGGGGAAUUUUGGACAAUGGGCGAAAGCCUGAUCCAGCCAUGCCGCGUGCAGGAUGAAGGCCUUCGGGUUGUAAACUGCUUUUGUACGGAACGAAACGGCCUUUUCUAAUAAAGAGGGCUAAUGACGGUACCGUAAGAAUAAGCACCGGCUAACUACGUGCCAGCAGCCGCGGUAAUACGUAGGGUGCAAGCGUUAAUCGGAAUUACUGGGCGUAAAGCGUGCGCAGGCGGUUAUGUAAGACAGUUGUGAAAUCCCCGGGCUCAACCUGGGAACUGCAUCUGUGACUGCAUAGCUAGAGUACGGUAGAGGGGGAUGGAAUUCCGCGUGUAGCAGUGAAAUGCGUAGAUAUGCGGAGGAACACCGAUGGCGAAGGCAAUCCCCUGGACCUGUACUGACGCUCAUGCACGAAAGCGUGGGGAGCAAACAGGAUUAGAUACCCCAGUAGUCCCA
RNAcentral lists this ribosomal RNA (472 nucleotides) under uncultured organism. RNAcentral's name for it is "partial 16S ribosomal RNA". It matches the Rfam family "Bacterial small subunit ribosomal RNA", at positions 334 to 797 of the family's 1533-position model. The record is from RNAcentral.